CUUUCAGAGCUAGAAAUUGCUUAAAAUUUUACACACGAAAAUUUUCAAAGAUCCUCGUACAAAUCAUGGGCGAUCCAAUCAAACAGGACGAAGGGAAGACCAAGGGGAAGCCCAAGGUAAAGCCCGUGGGGAACCCCGAGCAGCAGUCUAUGGACAAUAUCCGUGCGGUGCUGCUAUUCGCCUUCUUCAGCGCCGCCGUCCGUCUGCUGGCGCUGGUUGUCCAGAGGAGGAAUCCUGCCUAACGCCAGGAUCCAGCAGGCCAACAAUGAUACACACCGAAACACACUGAGACACCAUGGAUGCCAUCAAUCCUCAAGAAGUAGAAACUGAACAUUUGUGGACACAACAAGGAAGACACAACAGCCAUCAUUCCCAUAAAUGCCAGAGUGGAAAAUAAAUAAGAGUUCGUCAAUUAUA
Long non-coding RNA from Drosophila persimilis, 417 nucleotides. RefSeq lists it as uncharacterized. The record is from RefSeq and is a predicted model, not a curated record. The transcript has 2 exons. NCBI's taxonomy places the organism in Eukaryota, Metazoa, Arthropoda, Insecta, Diptera, Drosophilidae.